UGGACAGAUUAUUGUAUUCGACUGUAUUCACAGCGUGAAAUAGGGGAUUUCACUGUUUUUAAAACGGAAAGUGAAUCAAUUAACAUAAUAGACUCCU
Nicotiana attenuata is the source of this 97-nucleotide microRNA precursor. It matches the Rfam family "MIR6152 microRNA precursor family". The record is from Rfam. Lineage: Eukaryota; Viridiplantae; Streptophyta; Magnoliopsida; Solanales; Solanaceae.